AAACAAAAACACUGAAGGUCCUAAUCAGUGUUUCUCUUUGUUGGGAGUUUAAAUUAUGAAUCACACUCACAGGGCGCCCUGGUGGCCUAAUGGUUAAGGCGCAUACCACAUAACUGCGACAUCCACGGUUCAGCUCCUGGCCGCAGGACCUGUGUUACAUGUCAUACAACCCCCUCCCUCCUUCCCUCUCGCUCUCUUUCUCUAUUUCUCCCUCUGUAUUUCCUGUCUCUGCACUGGCUGUCAAAUAGAGGCAAAAAGCAUUCUGAAAAAAUCAUCUUUAAAAGAAACAAAACAGGAAUCACAUUCACUGUUGACGCUCUUGGCACUACUACCAGGUGUCAUAAGAGAGAAUAUGUCAAUUUUAGUUAAUAUCUUCUUCUACUUCUCUUGUUUUUCUGGUCCUUUUUUCCACAUUUCCUUUAGUUUCCAAAUGUCUCCCUGUCUAGUGUCUACUCUGUUUUCUCUUCCUAAACCCCACACACACACACACAAUACCACCUCCUGAUUCUUAUCACACAGUUUCUCUCACUCUCUGUUUAUCCGCAGGUAUCUCUGCUGUGACACUCAGUCAGAAAUGAGGGAGUGGUAUGCUACCUUUCUCAGUAUCCAGUAUGACGGCAACAUUUGGCCUCAGGAUGGACUCCAGCAGACACGGGUUAGCCGUGUGCUGCCGGAUACUCGUCAUGGUAACGUGUCACUGAUACCGCUGCGUGGCAGUGAGAAUGAGAUGCGGAACAGCGUAGCAGCUUUCAGCCAAGACCCGCUUGCUCUCUUUAGAGAUGUUCGAUAAUGGUUGCUGCAAGGAAGGACAGAUGAUCGGCCUCAUCAGACGACCGCUCAACAUUCCAGUAACAUCGUCAUUCUGCAGCUGUACAGACCAGACUCUGAGACACUUUUGAACAUGAACUGGACCAAAAACUAAAUGGACAACGAGAUCACAUGUAAAAUACAAUCUACACUGGUUUUCCUGCACAAUUGAAUUUUACUUGACUUGAUGUACAUAAAAAAAUGAAAGAGACAGUUUGACGGACUACAAUCGCCAUGAAGAUUUCCUUUAUGCUUCCAGCUCGGCGCCGGCUCCGCACCCCACUGUUACAUUGAUCAGUGGUAUUUACUGCAUUGCAUUAUGGGACAGAAGCAUGAAAAACAUGCUGCAGAGAAAUGUUUAAUCCUAUAUUGUGUUUGUUUUCAGAAAGGACGUAGGUUAUUCUAAGGCACUAGCUCUUAAGUGCUUAGAAAGUCUUUUUUUAUAGAAAACAGAAGCUUAUUGACAUGCAGUUGAUGCUGAUUCUGAUCUAUAUUUUUGUGACGUUUUUAGCUCUUUCUAUACUGUUGCUCACAGACGAAUUGUUAGGAUAAUCCUGCAGUUCAAAAUGUAAUAAUUGCUAUUGUAAGCAAAGCUGAUGUCGUAGGAGGCGGUGUCCUGACGGGGUGGAUCAAUGUCUGUUUCCUCGCAGGUCGUCUGCCUGUACUGUGCAAAACCUUGGCCAGAGUUGCAUAUUUUGUCAAUUAAUUUGUCUGCAUAAGUGUGUCGGAUUGUGCAUACAGUAUGUUUGUGAAUAUGUGUGUGGACAAGUUGUACGUGUGUCUUUUGAGAAGUGGAUGAAGGAGAGGCAUGUGCUGAAAAACAUUACUUUUCUUUAAUGAAAUAGAAGAAAGUCACAGGUCACGACGCAAUAUGGCUUCUUUUGCCAAUAGUUUGUCAUAAGAUGUGAUAAAAUAAGUGACGUACUUACUUUAUCAUUAUCUUUUAUUCCCACGUUAGGUAGGUCAAUUUGCAUAUCGAGUUUACAUAUUGAAAACAAUGUGUUGACCUUAUCAGCAGUCUUGUCUGUCCCACUGCUCUUAGUUUAAGCUCUGUCUCUUCAUCCUGUCCUACAGUCCUCAGCACUGCCUCAUCUCUGCAGGCCUUUUACUAAAGUGAGUCUGAGGCAGUUCACAGUGCACAAGCAGUGAUUUAUCAGCAGUAUUUAAGGAGUGGUGGAUUUUGAAUGACUUUGCAUUGGAUUUAAUCUUUGUUACCUGAAACACUGGUGAGCAUGUUUAUAGUGUGUCAUCUUUCAUCGUUGUUUUCUACUUUGAGCCCAAACAAUGUAUAUGUUUGUCUAAAGUAAAAGUCAUAAAAAAACAAUCUGUUAACUGUAUUAACCUGUCAAAGACCAGCUGCACUGGACUGCCCCAUCUCGCGAUCUUGUAGAAAGAUUUCUUAUUUAUUUUGACAGCAGAGUACGCUAGAUGCUGUGCUGUAGAACACAUUUGAUCUACUGGUGAUAUUACGAUGUUCAGCUAAAUGUUCUUAACACCUUUUUGGCACAGUGCUUGUAAAAAUGUGGUGUGUGUGUGUGUGUGUCUGUGUGUGUGUGUGUGUGUGUGUGUGUGUGUGUGUGUGUGUGUGUGUGUGUGUGUGUGUGUGUGUGUGUGUGUGUGUGUGUGUGUGUGUGUGUGUGUGUGUGUGUGUGUGUGUGUGUGUGUGUGUGUGUGUGUGUGUGUGUGUGUGUGUGUGUGUGUGAACAGCUCGGACCUCAGCAGGACUUGGGAGAAGUCUCCACUGUGUGGUGUUGUAAUUACAGUGCCUAUAGAAAGUACUCAUACUCUGUUUCUGACCUUUUUUCUUAUCAUUUUACAGCAUUAAUCACAGUGGAUGUACAGUUUGUAGUAUUUUCUUGAUGCUGACAAUUAGAAAAAGGCUUACAAAAAAAAAAAAUUUAAGUUGUUUGCGUACAUUUAACAUCCACUUAACGUCAAGAAGCUCAUCAUAGCAUUAAACUGUCUUCAACACCCCUUCUGUAGCUCCUUCAGUGUUCCUCUCACUCUGUUUUGGGGUUAUCUCUUUAUAAAGCUGGACAAUAACGACACUCACAGGUAGAUGUGGUUUCUUGGAAAUUGUCUUGUACGAUUUCCCCGAUUUGGUUCUUUUUUUAAAACUUCUCACUGAAUGCUUUUGAUUCAAGUGUGUUUAACUUAAAAUGAUUCAUGAUCUCUAUUUAACUUAUUAUGCCUCUUCCGCCUGCAGCCGUGAUAAAAGUAGACGAAUACGUUUUAUCACUAAUUUAUUUGUAGAGGGCUUUUUCUGUUGAUCAUGGCCAAAAAGUCUACUAAUUACAUCCACUGUGAAUCAAUGUAGUAAAAAUAUAAAAAGUCCAACAAGUGGUGGUGAUGAAUAUUUUACAUAAGCAGUGUAUGUUUUCUCUACUGUCUCUGUUCUUACUCUGCAUUUUACUGAUUUUUUUUUGCAUCUCUGAAACUCUAAUAAACACAUUCAGCUAGG
Long non-coding RNA from Scomber scombrus (Atlantic mackerel), 3268 nucleotides. RefSeq lists it as uncharacterized. The record is from RefSeq and is a predicted model, not a curated record. The transcript has 4 exons. Lineage: Eukaryota; Metazoa; Chordata; Actinopteri; Scombriformes; Scombridae.